This 253-nucleotide ribosomal RNA is filed under the name uncultured bacterium. RNAcentral's name for it is "partial 16S ribosomal RNA". It matches the Rfam family "Bacterial small subunit ribosomal RNA", at positions 524 to 776 of the family's 1533-position model. The record is from RNAcentral.
UGCGGAGGGAGCUAGCGUUGUUCGGAUAUACUGGGCGUAAAGCGCACGUAGGCGGCGCCGUAAGUCAGGGGUGAAAUCCCGGAGCUCAACUCCGGAACUGCCCUUGAAACUGCAGUGCUAGAAUCUUGGAGAGGCGAGUGGAAUUCCGAGUGUAGAGGUGAAAUUCGUAGAUAUUCGGAAGAACACCAGUGGCGAAGGCGACUCGCUGGACAAGUAUUGACGCUGAGGUGCGAAAGCGUGGGGAGCAAACAGG